This 301-nucleotide ribosomal RNA is filed under the name uncultured bacterium. Its description in RNAcentral is "partial 16S ribosomal RNA". It matches the Rfam family "Bacterial small subunit ribosomal RNA", at positions 512 to 810 of the family's 1533-position model. The record is from RNAcentral.
CAGUCGCGGUAAUACGAAGGGGGCUAGCGUUGUUCGGAAUUACUGGGCGUAAAGCGCACGUAGGCGGAUAUUUAAGUCAGGGGUGAAAUCCCAGAGCUCAACUCUGGAACUGCCUUUGAUACUGGGUAUCUUGAGUAUGGAAGAGGUGAGUGGAAUUCCGAGUGUAGAGGUGAAAUUCGUAGAUAUUCGGAGGAACACCAGUGGCGAAGGCGGCUCACUGGUCCAUUACUGACGCUGAGGUGCGAAAGCGUGGGGAGCAAACAGGAUUAGAGACCCCUGUAGUCCCUGUCUCUUAUACACA